This is a long non-coding RNA of Exaiptasia diaphana, 228 nucleotides long. RefSeq lists it as uncharacterized. Lineage: Eukaryota; Metazoa; Cnidaria; Anthozoa; Actiniaria; Aiptasiidae. The transcript is spliced from 2 exons. The record is from RefSeq and is a predicted model, not a curated record.
GGCUAACUCUGUCUAUUUUAUCUCUAAGGUGCAAGUCCAAUUGUAAGUCGAUCAUUUAUCAGGAUAACCCAUCGACACGGACGAUCAGCCAACGACGAUAAAAAGUCUAAAACAAUCUAUGACAAGCUAAAGAUCCAAAAGAACUGCUGUUGCGUAAAUGGAAAAUGUUAAACGUAAUAAAUAAACUGACAGUAUUUUAUAUUAAAUAAAAAUGUUUGAAAACUUAAA